This 1147-nucleotide ribosomal RNA is filed under the name Shigella flexneri. RNAcentral's name for it is "partial 23S ribosomal RNA". It matches the Rfam family "Bacterial large subunit ribosomal RNA", at positions 1 to 1179 of the family's 2925-position model. The record is from RNAcentral. Lineage: Bacteria; Pseudomonadati; Pseudomonadota; Gammaproteobacteria; Enterobacterales; Enterobacteriaceae.
GGGUUGUGAGGUUAAGCGACUAAGCGUACACGGUGGAUGCCCUGGCAGUCAGAGGCGAUGAAGGACGUGCUAAUCUGCGAUAAGCGUCGGUAAGGUGAUAUGAACCGUUAUAACCGGCGAUUUCCGAAUGGGGAAACCCAGUGUGAUUCGUCACACUAUCAUUAACUGAAUCCAUAGGUUAAUGAGGCGAACCGGGGGAACUGAAACAUCUAAGUACCCCGAGGAAAAGAAAUCAACCGAGAUUCCCCCAGUAGCGGCGAGCGAACGGGGAGCAGCCCAGAGCCUGAAUCAGUGUGUGUGUUAGUGGAAGCGUCUGGAAAGGCGUGCGAUACAGGGUGACAGCCCCGUACACAAAAAUGCACAUACUGUGAGCUCGAUGAGUAGGGCGGGACACGUGGUAUCCUGUCUGAAUAUGGGGGGACCAUCCUCCAAGGCUAAAUACUCCUGACUGACCGAUAGUGAACCAGUACCGUGAGGGAAAGGCGAAAAGAACCCCGGCGAGGGGAGUGAAAAAGAACCUGAAACCGUGUACGUACAAGCAGUGGGAGCACGCUUAGGCGUGUGACUGCGUACCUUUUGUAUAAUGGGUCAGCGACUUAUAUUCUGUAGCAAGGUUAACCGAAUAGGGGAGCCGAAGGGAAACCGAGUCUUAACUGGGCGUUAAGUUGCAGGGUAUAGACCCGAAACCCGGUGAUCUAGCCAUGGGCAGGUUGAAGGUUGGGUAACACUAACUGGAGGACCGAACCGACUAAUGUUGAAAAAUUAGCGGAUGACUUGUGGCUGGGGGUGAAAGGCCAAUCAAACCGGGAGAUAGCUGGUUCUCCCCGAAAGCUAUUUAGGUAGCGCCUCGUGAAUUCAUCUCCGGGGGUAGAGCACUGUUUCGGCAAGGGGGUCAUCCCGACUUACCAACCCGAUGCAAACUGCGAAUACCGGAGAAUGUUAUUACGGGAGACACACGGCGGGUGCUAACGUCCGUCGUGAAGAGGGAAACAACCCAGACCGCCAGCUAAGGUCCCAAAGUCAUGGUUAAGUGGGAAACGAUGUGGGAAGGCCCAGACAGCCAGGAUGUUGGCUUAGAAGCAGCCAUCAUUUAAAGAAAGCGUAAUAGCUCACUGGUCGAGUCGGCCUGCGCGGAAGAUGUAACGGG